Molecule: ribosomal RNA, 166 nt
Filed under: Cadophora sp.
Lineage: Eukaryota; Fungi; Ascomycota; Leotiomycetes; Helotiales; Ploettnerulaceae
Description: partial large subunit ribosomal RNA
Rfam family: Eukaryotic large subunit ribosomal RNA
Source: RNAcentral
CGGUAACAGCUCAAAUUUGAAAGCUAGCUCUUUUAGGGUUCGCAUUGUAAUUUGUAGAAGAUGCUUCGGGUGUGGCUCCGGUCUAAGUUCCUUGGAACAGGACGUCAUAGAGGGUGAGAAUCCCGUAUGUGACUGGGUGCUUUCGCUCAUGUGAAGCUCUUUCGAC